GUUGUUAGGACAUUCCAUAAUAACUAUGGCUGAUAGUUUCCUUGGCUCAAGCUUCACACCUUGAUCUGAGAACACAAGGCCCAUAAAGACUCUGAAGCAUGGGAAACAACUUCAGUGCCUUUUCAUUCAGCUAUUACAAACUACACACACACACUGUAAACUAGACUACACCCACUUCCCAGCAUUUCCCAUGGUUCUAUGGACAGCCAUUGAAGAUUUAGGCUUUCAGAUCAAAAUGCCUGGUCACAUUUCCACCAGUCAAGAAGCCAAGAUCUUUCUACAAUACUCCUUUUCUGUACCCAUGUGUCCCUUUUAGGAUUGCCAGAUGAUGAGGUGUUGCAGCACUUCAGACUGCCACCUCAUCUCAUCUUAGAAAUCAUACGGACAUUCCUACAGUAAUUCCACCACUCACACAGUUCUUGGCUGUGUUACAGUUUGUACUUCAGGGUCCUUUCAAAUCCCUGCUAAAGUUGAGGCUGGUAUUUCUCAGCCGUCCUUUAGUAAGAUCCUGAAGCACUUUACAAUUGCUUUCUUGACCCACCUCAGUCAAUUUAUAUGCAUGUCUUUGGAUGAGGAGGCCCAAGCUGUGGAGAAGCAGCAAUUUCAGGCAAUUGCUGGCUUCCCGCACAUUGUAGGGGAUGUGAAUGGCACCCAUAUUCAAUUAUUACCACCAAAACAUAAUCAACAUAUUUAUAUAAAUUGCAAAAGGUAUUAUUCAUUAAUGUAAUGGUGGUAUGUGGUGCAUCCCCGCAGAUUCUGGCCAUGAAUGCCAAACUCCCUGGAUUGUCACAUGAUUCUUACAUUGUCCGGGACUCAGGGAUCUAGAAGAAAUUAGCAUCGAUUCAAGGUGGAGAAGCAUAGCUGUUGGCAAUAAGGACACAUGUACCAUGGGAUGGCCCAUAUGAUGCACCUGAGGAUGAGGAUUUAGUGGAAGGAUGCCAGGACUCAGAAAGUGGGGGAGAUUUCCGCCAAUAUGUUGUGGAUCGAUAAUUCCAGUUAGUAUAAUGUUUAAUAUUGGUACAUAACUGAUAUUUUUUUCAUUUUGUCAUUAAACCUACCUUUUUUUGUUUUCUUUAACAAAAUAUAACAUAAAUGAAUUUUUACUUUUAUUUGGAAAAUGUGUAGAAUUGUGGUUCUCUCUUGACCAAAAUCUGUUGUUAAAAUAAUGGCCACAACAUAUCUAAUGUG
This is a long non-coding RNA of Pseudophryne corroboree (corroboree frog), 1188 nucleotides long. RefSeq lists it as uncharacterized. Lineage: Eukaryota; Metazoa; Chordata; Amphibia; Anura; Myobatrachidae. The transcript is spliced from 4 exons. The record is from RefSeq and is a predicted model, not a curated record.